AUACCUACUUGGCAGGGGAGACAACAUGAUCAUGGAGAUAGUUUUCAGAGGGUGUUCAUCCUUUGCCCUCUGGGUGUUUGAUUUUGCCAAUGUUGGGAAUUCAUCUGCAUAAUUUAAUAACAUAAAAGUAGCUUUGCUACAUAUUGC
Molecule: small nuclear RNA, 147 nt
Organism: Anolis carolinensis (green anole)
Lineage: Eukaryota; Metazoa; Chordata; Lepidosauria; Squamata; Anolidae
Gene: U1
Rfam family: U1 spliceosomal RNA
About the family: U1 is a small nuclear RNA (snRNA) component of the spliceosome (involved in pre-mRNA splicing). Its 5' end forms complementary base pairs with the 5' splice junction, thus defining the 5' donor site of an intron.
Source: Ensembl